CCUACGGGAGGCAGCAGUCGAGAAUCAUUCACAAUGGGGGAAACCCUGAUGGUGCGACGCCGCGUGGGGGAAUGAAGGUCUUCGGAUUGUAAACCCCUGUCAUGUGGGAUCAAAUUAAAGAGAUAGUACCACAAGGGGAAUAGCCGGCUAACUCUGUGCCAGCAGCCGCGGUAAUGCAGAGGUCUCAAGCGGUGUUCGGAAUCACUGGGCGUAAAGCAUGCGUAGGCUGUUUCGUAAGUCGUGUGUGAAAGGCGUGGGCUCAACCCUCGGACUGCACAUGAUACUGGGAGACUAGAGUAAUGGAGGGGGAAGCGGAAUUCGUGGUGUAGCAGUGAAAUGCGUAGAUAUCGAGAGGAACACUCGUGGCGAAGGCGGGUUGCUGGACAGUAACUGACGCUGAGGCACGAAGGCCAGGGGAGCGAAAGGGAUUAGAUACCCAAGUAGUC
RNAcentral lists this ribosomal RNA (446 nucleotides) under uncultured bacterium. Its description in RNAcentral is "partial 16S ribosomal RNA". It matches the Rfam family "Bacterial small subunit ribosomal RNA", at positions 338 to 795 of the family's 1533-position model. The record is from RNAcentral.